Molecule: ribosomal RNA, 914 nt
Filed under: Clostridium perfringens
Lineage: Bacteria; Bacillati; Bacillota; Clostridia; Eubacteriales; Clostridiaceae
Description: bacterial LSU rRNA
Rfam family: Bacterial large subunit ribosomal RNA
Source: RNAcentral
AGUAGCGAGAUGUGGGUGAGAAUCCCACAGGCCGAAAACCUAAGGUUUCCUCAGGAAGGUUCGUCCGCUGAGGGUUAGUCGGGACCUAAGCCGAGGCCGAAAGGCGUAGGUGAUGGACAACUGGUUGAUAUUCCAGUACCACUACCAUCGUUAUUAUCGAUGGCGUGACGCAGGAGGAUAGUGUGUGCUAGCUAUUGGAUGCUAGUCUAAGCGUUUAGGCAGUGAGAGUAGGCAAAUCCGCUCUCAUAAUGCUGAGGCGUGAUGGGGAAGGUUCUACGGAACCGAAGUACAUGAUUCCACGCUGCCAAGAAAAGCGUCUAGAGAGAGAAGUAGUGCCCGUACCGCAAACCGACACAGGUAGGUGAGGAGAGAAUCCUAAGGCCUGCGGAAGAAUUACAGUUAAGGAACUCGGCAAAUUGACCCCGUAAGUUCGCGAGAAGGGGUGCCUACGAGAGUAGGCCGCAGAGAAUAGGCCCAAGCAACUGUUUAGCAAAAACACAGGUCUCUGCUAAAGCGUAAGCUGAUGUAUAGGGGCUGACGCCUGCCCGGUGCUGGAAGGUUAAGGGGAACACUUAGCGCAAGCGAAGGUGUGAACUUAAGCCCCAGUAAACGGCGGCCGGAACUAUAACGGUCCUAAGGUAGCGAAAUUCCUUGUCAGGUAAGUUCUGACCCGCACGAAUGGCGUAAUGACUUGGGCACUGUCUCAACUGUAAAUCCGGCGAAGUUGUAGUGCGAGUGAAGAUGCUCGCUACCCGCGAUUGGACGGAAAGACCCCGUAGAGCUUUACUGUAGCUUAGCAUUGAGUUUUGGUAUUGUCUGUACAGGAUAGGUGGGAGACUAGGAAACCAGGGCGUCAGCCUUGGUGGAGUCAACCUUGGGAUACCACCCUGACAGUACUGAAAUUCUAACUGGCG